This 275-nucleotide ribosomal RNA is filed under the name uncultured bacterium. RNAcentral describes it as "partial 16S ribosomal RNA". It matches the Rfam family "Bacterial small subunit ribosomal RNA", at positions 399 to 691 of the family's 1533-position model. The record is from RNAcentral.
GCGUGAGUGAAGAAGGCCUUCGGGUUGUAAAACUCUUUCACCUGUGACGAUAAUGACGGUAGCAGGAGAAGAAGCACCGGCAAACUCUGUGCCAGCAGCCGCGGUAAGACAGAGGGUGCUAGCGUUGUUCGGAAUGACUGGGCGUAAAGGGCGCGUAGGCGGUUAAUCAAGUCAGAUGUGAAAGCCCCGGGCUUAACCUGGGAACUGCAUUUGAUACUGGUUGACUGGAGUACGAGAGAGGAAAGCGGAAUUCCUAGUGUAGAGGUGAAAUUCGU